AUGGCGGGGUUGAAGCCAAGCGCUGACCACUCCGCUUUCCUCGACGGCAACGGUCCCGGCGACAAACUCAUGGCCGGCUUCGCCAACUCCGACACCAGAGAAGCGGCGCCGGCGGCCAGCAUGCACAAGAAGAAGGGGGCGCCGCCUGCCAAUCUUGCCAAGGAUCUGUUCGGCAACGCCUACCCUUCUGCACGCGAUUACAUAAUGAGGAAGCAACAGCUCGAGAGAAUUGCGAGGGCUAAGGCCAGGGCGGAGGCGGAGGCGAACAGUGGAGCCUCCGGUGAUGGCAACAAGGUGCAGCACGGAGCAAAGCUAGGUGGAUAUUAUCACAACAAUGAAUCAUCGAGGAGGCAGCAACUUGGCAUGUCGGGUAGAUUUAGCAGCAAUGGAGCUUCAAAGAGGCAGCAACGCACCAUGUCGGUGAACAAGGCCGCCCCUGCACAAGGUGUCGAGGUGCCGCCGUCUCCCGAGCAGGCUCCUCCGUCGCCACCGAGCCUAUACGACAUCAAUGAGUUCCCUGCGUUGAAGUAG
RNAcentral lists this ribosomal RNA (531 nucleotides) under Triticum aestivum (bread wheat). Its description in RNAcentral is "partial small subunit ribosomal RNA". The record is from RNAcentral. Lineage: Eukaryota; Viridiplantae; Streptophyta; Magnoliopsida; Poales; Poaceae.